This 1006-nucleotide ribosomal RNA is filed under the name Absidia nigra. RNAcentral describes it as "Absidia cylindrospora var. nigra partial large subunit ribosomal RNA". The record is from RNAcentral. Lineage: Eukaryota; Fungi; Mucoromycota; Mucoromycetes; Mucorales; Cunninghamellaceae.
GCAUAUCAAUAAGCGGAGGAAAAGAAAAUAACRAUGAUUCCCCCAGUAACGGCGAGUGAACAGGGAAAAGCUCAAAGUUGGAACCUCCUGGCCCUAGGCCUGGCGGAUUGUAAACUAAAGCUCUCGAGUAGUUUGGCUAGCCCAGUAAUCAAGUUCUCUGGAAAGGGACGACAAAGAGGGUGAAAUCCCCGUUUUUGGCUGGAGCAUAGUCUUGCGUUUGCUUGGAAGCGAAGAGUCAGGUUGUUUGGUAUUGCAGCCUAAAGCUGGAGGUAAAUCUCUCCUAAAGCUAAAUAUUGACGAAAGACCGAUAGCGAACAAGUACCGUGAGGGAAAGAUGAAAAGCACCUUGAAAAGGGGGUCAAAAAAGUACGUGAAAUUGCUGAAAGGGAACCGUAUGAAAUCAGCCUGUCCCUUUGGUAAUCAACCUGGACUUUGGUCUGGGUGCACUUGCCAGUGGGUACAGCCUGCGACAAUUUGAUUUGGGGGAAAAAAUCAGGGGGAAUGUGGCCUCGGCUUCGGUCGUGGUGUUAUAGCCCUUUGAAAAAUACCCUGGGUUGGAUUGAGGACUGCAGCGAGCCCUUUUGGGGGAUGAACUGUGGGCGCUUGGUUCGUGUUGGGAGGAAAUCUCUACUUUGGGUAGUGUUCUUCCAGCAUGGGCCAACCCGCCUACUUUUUCUUUUUCUCGCUUAGGUCGCAGGCCUAAUGAUUUUAUAUGACCCGUCUUGAAACACGGACCAAGGAGUCCACCAUAGUUGCGAGUCUUUGGGUGUAAAAACCCAUAGGCGGAAGGAAACUGACCUAGAUAUGAAGGCCGCAAGGCUGGCAAUAUCCUCCAGCGAGGACGUUUUAUACUGAAUUGACUGAGAGAAAGCACCUAUGAUGGGACCCGAAAGAUGGUGAACUAUACUUGAAUAGGGUGAAGCCAGAGGAAACUCUGGUGGAAGCUCGUAGCGAUUCUGACGUGCAAAUCGAUCGUCAAAUUUGAGUAUAGGGGCGAAAGACUAAU